UUACAUCAGAAUACUUUUGGGAGAAAGUAACAAUUUGGAGUGGGUUUUGAAAAUUGCAAGGUGUAAAGAUUUUAAGUUGUUUAAGUCCCAAAUAACCCUAAACCAAGUCCAAUGAAGUUUCAUUUAUGAAGUUUCAAAUGUGAAUUCGCUUUAUGUGUGUAGAAUGUUGCUUUUAGCGUAGGUCCUUGAGCACAGUACCUUUCAGACAUCCUGUCCCUUUAAAUCAAACCACACCGUUACUUUGAAUAUGGAUUUACUACGUGGUAUUUAUAGCACAAGAGGGAAAGAAUGGACUUUGAUGUCUGAGACUGGAGUAUUCUCUUGGCCGGGAUCCACUCACCGCUGUGCGGCAUAGGAUGUGCACCGGGAAGGGACACAACAUCUUAUACAAUGAUAUGUCUGUCUAAACAGGAAUAUAUUUUAAGAACUUGAACCUCCCCCGGUUGAUGAUUCCCUUACAUGUUCAUUAAAUUUUACCAGGGUUUUUGGUUGUGUGUAAGAGUAACUUUUAGUCGUCUGGCUUAAUUGUUCUCAGGCUUACUGCCUCCCUCUGCUAACCUAAGCUUAGAAUAUAUUCACCUCCGAGACUUUGUGCUUGCCCUUUCUAGCUCUUUGUGAACUCUGGCUUUACUCUCUGCUCUGCUUGAAUUGCUCUGCUAACUCUAGCAAUCUGUUCCAAACUUCUGGCUCCUUUUCAUUCUCUGGCUCAUUCUGUCUUCACCUGUCUCUGUAAAAUUAACUCUCCCAGUAAACUGCCUCUGAAUUCCACGAACUCAGCUCCACUGCCUGCCUUUGAACUGACUCAACCGAAAUGACUAAAGAGAACUAACUAGCACUGAGAAAUCUGCAUGCCUCUCUCUCCUGAGGGCUGGGAUUAAGAGUGUGUACCCCCACGUCUGGACUUGAGCUUCUUGUUACCUGAAGUUUGCUGUGUACCAGGCUGGCCUUGAAUCCAGAGAUCUGUUUGUCUAUGUCUCUGGGAUUAAAGGCAUGUCUGUAUUCCAGCCAGAUCACAGAGACCUAGAAGGUCUUUGGAUGUGAUCUCUUGGCAGAGCAGCCAUGUUCUGAAUUAAAAUUACUCCACAGUUGUGCCUUACAGAAAUUGUAACUUGAUUUCAUGAUGUUUGAGCAUCUGGUUUUUUGUUUUUUGUUUUUGUCUGAACUGUAGCUAAUUUUACUACAUUGUUUGCCAUUAUGUCUGUGCUCAAGAUUCCCCACCCAACUCUCAGCCAAUCCCAUUAUUUGUAUUGGUGGUGAUUUCAAAUGGUUACCAAGUAAAUGUAAAUUCUAGAAUGAGUACUGAAAAUCCUGAGGAAAAAUAGCCAAUAAACAGGAGCCACUUUU
This 1344-nucleotide long non-coding RNA is filed under the name Mus musculus (house mouse). RNAcentral's name for it is "long non-coding RNA chr6:120443223-120444567". Lineage: Eukaryota; Metazoa; Chordata; Mammalia; Rodentia; Muridae. The record is from RNAcentral.